RNAcentral lists this ribosomal RNA (315 nucleotides) under uncultured bacterium. RNAcentral describes it as "bacterial SSU rRNA". It matches the Rfam family "Bacterial small subunit ribosomal RNA", at positions 28 to 334 of the family's 1533-position model. The record is from RNAcentral.
GAUGAACGCUAGCUACAGGCUUAACACAUGCAAGUCGAGGGGCAGCAUGGUCUUAGCUUGCUAAGGCCGAUGGCGACCGGCGCACGGGUGAGUAACACGUAUCCAACCUGCCGUCUACUCUUGGACAGCCUUCUGAAAGGAAGAUUAAUACAAGAUGGCAUCAUGAGUCCACAUGUUCACAUGAUUAAAGGUAUUCCGGUAGACGAUGGGGAUGCGUUCCAUUAGAUAGUAGGCGGGGUAACGGCCCACCAAGGCAAUGAUGGGUAGCCGGCCUGAGAGGGUGAACGGCCACAAGGGGACUGAGACACGGCCCUU